UACGUAGGUGGCGAGCGUUGUCCGGAUUUACUGGGCGUAAAGAGCGCGCAGGCGGUCGUUCAAGUCGCGUGUGAAAGCCCCCGGCUCAACUGGGAGGGUGCGCCGAAAACUGGAAAGCUAGAGUACUGGAUGGGAGAGUGGAAUUCCUGGUGUAGCGGUGAAAUGCGUAGAUAUCAGGAGGAACACCUGUGGUGUAGACGGCUCUCUGGACAGUCACUGACGCUGAGACACGAAAGCGUGGGUAGCAAACAGG
Molecule: ribosomal RNA, 253 nt
Filed under: uncultured bacterium
Lineage: Bacteria
Description: partial 16S ribosomal RNA
Rfam family: Bacterial small subunit ribosomal RNA
Source: RNAcentral